AGUGAACGCUGGCGGUAGGCCUAACACAUGCAAGUCGAACGGCAGCACAGUAAGAGCUUGCUCUUACGGGUGGCGAGUGGCGGACGGGUGAGGAAUACAUCGGAAUCUACUUUUUCGUGGGGGAUAACGUAGGGAAACUUACGCUAAUACCGCAUACGACCUACGGGUGAAAGCAGGGGAUCUUCGGACCUUGCGCGAUUGAAUGAGCCGAUGUCGGAUUAGCUAGUUGGCGGGGUAAAGGCCCACCAAGGCGACGAUCCGUAGCUGGUCUGAGAGGAUGUUGAGCACCCUGGAAACUAGAACACGGCCCGAACCCCUAGGGGGGGAAGAGGGGGGGAAUUUUGGAAAAGGGGCGAAACCCUGAUCCAGCCAUACCGGGGGGGUGAAGAAGGCCUUCGGGUUGUAAAGCCUUUUUGUUGGGAAAAAAAAGCAGCAGGUUAAUCCCCCGCUGUUCUGACGGUACCCAAAAAAAAAGCACCGGCAAACUUCGU
RNAcentral lists this ribosomal RNA (491 nucleotides) under uncultured bacterium. Its description in RNAcentral is "partial 16S ribosomal RNA". It matches the Rfam family "Bacterial small subunit ribosomal RNA", at positions 29 to 506 of the family's 1533-position model. The record is from RNAcentral.